RNAcentral lists this ribosomal RNA (227 nucleotides) under uncultured bacterium. Its description in RNAcentral is "partial 16S ribosomal RNA". It matches the Rfam family "Bacterial small subunit ribosomal RNA", at positions 109 to 334 of the family's 1533-position model. The record is from RNAcentral.
AGUAACGCGUGAGGAACCUGCCUCAAAGAGGGGGACAACAGUUGGAAACGACUGCUAAUACCGCAUAAGCCCACGGCUCGGCAUCGAGCAGAGGGAAAAGGAGCGAUCCGCUUUGAGAUGGCCUCGCGUCCGAUUAGCUAGUUGGUGAGGUAACGGCCCACCAAGGCGACGAUCGGUAGCCGGACUGAGAGGUCGAACGGCCACAUUGGGACUGAGACACGGCCCAG